GACGAACGCUGGCGGCGUGCCUAAUACAUGCAAGUCGAGCGAGUCUGCCUUGAAGAUCGGAGUGCUUGCAAUCUGUGAAACAAGAUACAGGCUAGCGGCGGACGGGUGAGUAACACGUGGGUAACCUGCCCAAGAGAUCGGGAUAACACCUGGAAACAGAUGCUAAUACCGGAUAACAACAGAUGAUGCCUAUCAACUGUUUAAAAGAUGGUUCUGCUAUCACUCUUGGAUGGACCUGCGGUGCAUUAGCUAGUUGGUAGGGUAACGGCCUACCAAGGCGAUGAGGCAUAGCCGAGUUGAGAGACUGAUCGGCCACAUUGGGACUGAGACACGGCCCAAACUCCUACGGGAGGCAGCAGUAGGGAAUCUUCGACAAGGGACGCAAGGCUGAUGGAGCAACGCCGCGUGAGUGAAGAAGGGUUUCGGCUCGUAAAGCUCUGUUGUUGGUGAAGAAGGACAGGGGUAGUAACGGACCUUUGUUUGACGGUAAUCAAUUAGAAAGUCACGGCUAACUAAGU
This 518-nucleotide ribosomal RNA is filed under the name uncultured bacterium. RNAcentral's name for it is "partial 16S ribosomal RNA". It matches the Rfam family "Bacterial small subunit ribosomal RNA", at positions 28 to 506 of the family's 1533-position model. The record is from RNAcentral.